Molecule: ribosomal RNA, 349 nt
Filed under: uncultured Planctomycetales bacterium
Lineage: Bacteria; Pseudomonadati; Planctomycetota; Planctomycetia; Planctomycetales
Description: bacterial SSU rRNA
Rfam family: Bacterial small subunit ribosomal RNA
Source: RNAcentral
CGCUGAAGCGCACGCCUCGGUGACAUACACAGGUGCUGCAUGGCUGUCGUCAGCUCGUGCUGUGAAGUGUCGGGUUAAGUCCCUUAACGAGCGCAACCCCUGUCGCUAGUUGCUAGCAGGUAAUGCUGAGGACUCUAGCGAGACUGCCGGUGUUAAACCGGACGAAGGUGGGGAUGACGUCAAGUCCGCAUGGCCUUUAUGCCCAGGGCUCGACACGUGCUACAAUGGCAGGUACAGAACGAUGCAAUACCGCGAGGUGGAGCAAAUCGCAAAAACCUGCCCCAGUUCGGAUUGGAGGCUGCAACUCGCCUCCAUGAAGUUGGAAUCGCUAGUAAUCGCGGANCAGCAA